AUGCAUGCCGCUCGACGGCGGCGGGGACGAUACCAAUCUACUCCGCCUCCAGACAUCACUCCCUCCGCUCCUGCGGUUCGUGCCUCUUCCUCUAGCAAGAUCGGCGGUCGCUACACCUCCCGAGGAUGUCCUUGCACUCUUCCUGUCCCACAUAGGAAGAGGCGGCCAGUUUCUUCAAUGUAUUGUAGACCCGUUAUUGAUAGGAAAUAA
Molecule: ribosomal RNA, 210 nt
Filed under: Triticum aestivum (bread wheat)
Lineage: Eukaryota; Viridiplantae; Streptophyta; Magnoliopsida; Poales; Poaceae
Description: partial small subunit ribosomal RNA
Source: RNAcentral